UUUACAUGGCCAUCAUCUUUUUAAUAUUAUGAUGCGACCCCAUCGGCGGUGAAUUGGUUCACCGUUCAUGUUAAACAACCCAAGGGAACGCAUUAUUCAAUCGCCUUGGACUUGAACUGGGGGAAUCGUAUUGCAAUAAGUUUAACAUGCUGCAAUUAUUUUCAGCUUAAAGACGCUCUCAAGAUUCAGCCUACCAAGAGACAAUGGGGAUCAUUUGAAUAUGAUCACUGAGGUGGCUUUCAUGCUUGAAGCACAAGGUUCCGGCAUUUCCAUUAAAGAAGUCACGGAAAAGUUAUGAUUAUGGUUUAAUGCUAUGCUGCUACAGCCAAAGUUUUCUCAACGGACUUUCAAAUGUGAAGGUAUAUGAAAUUAUAAACCAUGAAAAAGUUUAGAACGUAGGAUUGACUGUGUUGCAGCAGCAGCAUAUGGCUAAUGGCUCCUGUGCUCAUAGGUUAUAGCAUCAAGUUUCCUGUCAAUACAUUAUUGAUAUUUUAGUUAUUUGAUGCUUGAAGUUGAAGGUAUAAGAAUUAUUGCUCCAUCAAAAGGCUGGCUGUUGAAGUGAACUUACAUAAAAGGCGAUCUGAAUUUUUUGUACUAUCCUACUACAUAAUUCUUGUUUCCUGUUAUAAAUUGGUUUGUUGAAGCAAUGGUCAAGUACUGGUGGCCCGUUAUGUUUUUUUAUCUAUAUCUCCUUUUGAGUAGCUUGGUGUGAGAAUUAUAUAUGAGUAUUACUGUUAAAAAUACAUAUUAAACCAGUUUAUGGAUAGCAGGUAUUAUCAGGAAGACAAAAGGAUUUCAUUAGCUUUUCGUUAGUACAGAUACUACCAUACUACACUAUAAACCUUCUCCCAAAAGACCUGGUAAUUUUAGUAGUUGGGUCGUCAACCGACAACCUUUAGCUGUUUGAUUGACCAGGAAAGGAGAUAGAUAAAUAUGAUAUAGCUAAUGCAUAUUUUAAUGUUGUCAGGGUAAUCCGGAACUUGAAGCUGCAGAGAUGUUUCUAGUAGUACUUCUGUUAGUCCACCUUAUUAGACUGCACCACCUGAAAGAAAACAUUUUGAAGGGUUAUUACAUUCAAACAACUUAUGUCAUGAACUAGUAAGUCUAAUGGCCUAGAUUGCUUACCAUAUUCUCGUGGUGUUUUGCAUUUAUAGCAUUCAGUCCUACUGGCAUAAUUGUGUAUGCCGCAUCCAACUCUGAGAAAUCCAGUUACCGUCGUAUUAGAUUCAAAAUUUCACAUAAAAUGACAAAUUUUCCAAUAGUUAUACAUAAUUAAGAUCAUAAUAUUAUUUAUUGUAAUUGCAUAUAACAGUCUAAUGUGCCAUUGCUAAGCAUCACUAAAAGUUAAUACAAACAAAAAUAAAGUGAAGAUAGAGUAAACAUAGAUAUACCUGUUACAAACCCAGUCUCCAGCUUUCCAGCCAGGUGGGACUGUGUUGUUAUACUCAUAGCCUCCUGAUCCCAUAAUGCCAGCCCCAUGACCACUGUAAUCUUCUUUAGGAACACCGCACCUGUAGCAACUUGCCCUGCUAGCAUAGUUAUGUGCUCCACAUCUGAUUUCAUGGCAGUACCAGUCCCCAGGCAAGCCUUCUGGUUUACUCAUCCCAUAAGAAGACAUAUUGCAAGCUUCACCUCCAACCUUAGGAAACCUACAACGCUGACAUGAAUCCCAUCUUUUAAAAUUUAAGUACUGGCAUGAACCACACAUCCAGUCUCCGCUUUUCUGCAUCUUCCUUUUCUUGAUAUGUUAUACUGGAAAAAAAAAUAGUUGGAAUAUGUUAAAUUUAUCACAUUUCCAGUAUUUCAUCUUAUGAGCUUAGAUAACUGCCAAAUAAAAUACUACAACAAGUAUCGUGUAGAUAGAAAUGCCUAUGUAUUACUUUUCUUAUCGAAGGGGUUAGGAGAGCCUUAUAGCUGUUGAUUGGCAAAAAAGAAUUCUAGCGACAUCAGACAUAAAAAUUGUUAAUAAAUGUGUGUGUGUGUGUGUGUGUGUGUGUGUGUGUGUGGUGAGUCGAUGGAAUUAUAGUUCUUUUUUCUAUGAGUGUUCUAAAUUGAUGGUCGAAUGGAGGCUACAUUUUCCAUAAUUAAUACAUGUGGUUAACGUAGAGGUGGAAAUUACUAUUGAAAAUUGUGGUGGUAACUAAACUAAAACGAUACAGUAAAGCAGAGUUCCAAACCUAUGAAUUCUAUAGGGUGAAGACAAGCUUAAAUCAACAGGACUCACCUCAAGGACUUGAAUGAUGAUAGCUGGAAGAAUAGGAUUAGCAGAUCACAGAUAUGUUGGUGGAGCAAGUUUUAUGAAUGGGUUGAAGUGUCUUAUAUACUAGCUAAAGUGUCAUGAGGAGGGCCAUGGUGGACCUUUUCUUGUCAUAUAAGUCUUUGGGUUUUUCAACUAAUUAUGGGAUUCUUAAAGUAGAAAAUUCUGAUAUAUCUAUACAAACUAUUACUUCUCCAUAACCUUCUUUUGGGAGUGUAGGGUGUAAAAAGGAAGAGCUUGUAAAGGUGUUUGAUUAGUAUGUGCAUGCAUAAAAGCUUAUGAUUUCCAAAUUUCUUUCUACAAUGCACCAGUCUCAACAAUAUUCUUGUGCAUUAACUGAUUAAAAGGGCUUCUAGGCGAUAUUCUACUUUCCCACUGUCUGUUUCUAGCAAGGUGCAUGUUGUGAGGGAAGAGACUAAUUGAAAGUCUAAUUUGGAUAAACUAAAUUCCCUGUCUCUUGAUUAAAGGGAUUUCCUGUUCUUAAGCAUGGUGAUUUGUUGCUUAUGUUGAUUCCGCGUAAACUGAGUACCGACCCUCUUUCUGCACUAGGCUUAUAUAGUUCCGGUUUAUGCUAUUGAGGUUGGAAGGGCAAAUAGCUACAGGAAGUUCCUAUUAGGAAUCAGUUCCCAAUAAUGCACAUCCAUUGCCAAAUUCUAUUCUUCCUUCCAUGUUUUGAUUCUCCUUUAUGCAAUAAUGCAAAAGCCAUUUGAAGAUGCAAACCUGGUGGAGGUGUUCUAAUCAUUUAGUGAUAUGUGUAUGUGUAUGUAACAGCAUAUGCAUAUGACUAAUGACAAUUCUUGCUAUAAACCAACCAUGUAUGCUUACUUUAUAUUAUUAAAUUGAUAAUUUGCUUAUAUAUUAUUGUCCAAUAUCAUCUCAUUUUUUAUCUUUUUCCAUUUUCUGGAAGAUUGUGUAAUAUUAUCUGAUAAACGUGUUGAGACUUGAGGAUAUGGGUCAUCAUAUCUUGACAAUUGUCCGCACAUUAUGCUGUAACCAUACUUUUGCGCUGAUUGCAUCCUCAGGAAAGUUGCAGGUAUUGAAGAAUUAUAUGAGCAUGAAGCAUUACCAGCAUUCUACAAGACAAAGAAUUCAUUACGCUAAGUAGAAUGACAACAGAAUAAUUGGCUAAAAAAUGUUCGACCACAGAACAAGUGACUAGUGUUAAGGUAGCCUAGUUCAUGGGCGAGUACACUUCACUAUGAUGGAUCUGACACUUCGAGAACUUUAGGAGUAAACAGAGGAUUGAAUCUGAAGCCGGAGAUGGUUUCUUGUCUAGCUAAACCCAAUGACCCCCUGGUUUCAUGCAUUUGAGUAGCUAAUCCUGUGUAUGGAACGGCCAGAUCAGCAUCGUCGACCAGUUAGAAAGUCCUUCCACCGACUCACCAGCCCCGGAUAACUGGUCCCAUGUUUUCCGAUGUGUCAUUUCAGAAAUAACACGUGAGCUGGUUGUUAACCUCUAAUUGGAAAAGAGAGAAUCCUGAUCACCAACAAUGCAGCAGACAAUGUGAAUAUUCUGCAACAGCAGGAAAACCUCAGACAAAAUCCCAGCAAUGAGCUAUCUUUAUUCUGCAUAUCUAUAUUUUAUAUGACUAAUAUAAAUGGGGACAAAUUCUGCUCAAUAAUACUGCAAGAAUCAAUAUCCUCUCAAUUCUAUUUGAAUUUGCGGGUUUUUUCUGUAUUUUGAAUAUUCCUUCUUAUAUUAUGUUUGUUUCAGCUUUCAAUAGCUUUCGGCUUCAGGCUCAUGCUGCUUCCAUUUGGUCUCAGAAGUCGAAUUAUACACGACUCUAUAUAAAUUAUGGAGAAAGGGCCAAAAAGAAUGAAAAGGAUGUUUAAAGUAAAAAAAUAAAUACACAGGGACUUGCUACUGUAAAUCCACUUGUAUCAAUAUAUUAAUGUUAAAGAAAAGAAUGGAAUUACAGAAAAAAUGAAAAAACUAUUAUUCAAAUUAUUUUGAUUUAGCUAUUUGAUAUACCGGUAUA
Long non-coding RNA from Daucus carota subsp. sativus, 4236 nucleotides. RefSeq lists it as uncharacterized. The transcript has 4 exons. Lineage: Eukaryota; Viridiplantae; Streptophyta; Magnoliopsida; Apiales; Apiaceae. The record is from RefSeq and is a predicted model, not a curated record.